CCCGCAUACUCGAUGAAUGCAAAAUGUAUUCUUACAUCUUAUUCAGCUCUAUCUUGGGGUUUUCUCUACUUUUUUUCUGCCCAUACAUACACACACACUUAGUGCUUUCAAAAACCGACAAUCCAUGUUUCAUUCACUGGAUCGGCAGUUAAGGAGAGAGAGUAAAUGAAAGGAGGGGCAAGGGGGAAGCAGGGAAAUGCGUAGUUUUAACUUUUAACAGACCUUUAUAACAAAGAUAUGAAUUGUAAAAUGCAGUCCAGUUUAAUCCAAUUCGCAAGCACUAACUCCAUUGGCAUAAAUACUAACCCACCCUUAUUGCUCAUCGUGCGCUUCAUUCAUAAGUUGCUUGCAUUGGCUGGCUACGAAUGAUUUGCUUGGGUACGCAACGCAUUAUUAUUAAUUACCUAAAAAAAAAAAAAGAAGGACCUAGCUCCUGUGUGUGUGUAAAUUUUUUUCUUUGAAGUAUUGAAAGAAAAAAAAAUUUUUCAUUCGUUUUAUUCUUGUUUUUUUUUUUUUUUUAUCUUUG
Schizosaccharomyces pombe (fission yeast) is the source of this 526-nucleotide non-coding RNA. NCBI's taxonomy places the organism in Eukaryota, Fungi, Ascomycota, Schizosaccharomycetes, Schizosaccharomycetales, Schizosaccharomycetaceae. The record is from the annotation of a GenBank genome assembly.